This 433-nucleotide ribosomal RNA is filed under the name uncultured bacterium. RNAcentral describes it as "partial 16S ribosomal RNA". It matches the Rfam family "Bacterial small subunit ribosomal RNA", at positions 29 to 507 of the family's 1533-position model. The record is from RNAcentral.
AACGAACGCUGGCGGCAUGCCUAACACAUGCAAGUCGAACGAGACCUUCGGGUCUAGUGGCGCACGGGUGCGUAACGCGUGGGAACCUGCCCUUAGGUUCGGAAUAACUCCCCGAAAGGGGUGCUAAUACCGGAUAAUGUCUUCGGACCAAAGAUUUAUCGCCUUUGGAUGGGCCCGCGUUGGAUUAGCUAGUUGGGAGGGUAAAAGCCUACCAAGGCGACGAUCCAUAGCUGGUCUGAGAGGAUGAUCAGCCACACUGGGACUGAGACACGGCCCAGACUCCUACGGGAGGCAGCAGUGGGGAAUAUUGGACAAUGGGCGAAAGGCUGAUCCAGCAAUGCCGCGUGAGUGAUGAAGGCCUUAGGGUUGUAAAGCUCUUUUACCCGGGAUGAUAAUGACAGUACCGGGAGAAUAAGCCCCGGCUAACUCCGUG